This 279-nucleotide ribosomal RNA is filed under the name uncultured bacterium. RNAcentral's name for it is "partial 16S ribosomal RNA". It matches the Rfam family "Bacterial small subunit ribosomal RNA", at positions 506 to 784 of the family's 1533-position model. The record is from RNAcentral.
UGCCAGCAGCCACGGUAAUACGGAGGGUGCAAGCGUUGUUCGGAUUUACUGGGUGUAAAGGGCGCGUAGGCGGGUUUGUUAGUCAGAGGUGAAAUCCUGCGGCUUAACCGUAGAACUGCCUUUGAUACUGCAGAUCUUGAGUAUGGAAGAGAGAGACGGAAUUCCAGGUGUAGUGGUGAAAUACGUAGAUAUCGGAAGGAACACCAGUGGCGAAGGCGACUUCCUGGGCCAAUACUGACGCUGAGGUGCGAAAGCGUGGGGAGCAAACAGGAUUAGAUA